AAAAAAAAAAAAAAAGGCAAAAUUCUGUUCCUUUCUAGAAUGACUGAAGACUUUCAGCCACUAAAUAAUUUCCUCUUUAGUUGGUUUUCCAACUUAAAAAAAAUCAAACCUAGAGAAAUAUUUAAAGAAUAAUAUACCCAUAUAUAGGCUCACCAUUUUGCCACAUUCCCUUAUAUCCCAAUCGUAGCCUUUCAGCUUGGAAUGUAACUGAAAAGGACAUUUGAUUCAACUGUCACCUCAUACGCAAACUCACCCCAAGGGGUCAUCCAGCCUCUACUUCCAGAUCUCUGGUAAUGGAGAGCUCCACUGUCUUUGAGCCAGCCCCUUCUGUUUUUAGGGGCCUCUGGUUGUCACUAAGUUUGUGCUUAGAAUAAACUGAAACCUGGCCCUUCUUAACUUCCCUCAGUUGGGCUUUAUAUAACCCUCUAGCCAGACAAACUAAUUCUAGUUCUUUCUCACAUGACAGCUUUUAAAACAUUCGAAGGCAGUCCUCAUGUCCUCUUUCUUACUUUAAGGGAAGAAAGACUUACCAACCCUGAUUCUUUCAUCCAUGUUUCUUUUUUUUCUUUUUUCUUUUUCUUUUUGGCCAUGCUCAUGGCAUGAAGAAGUGCCCAGGCCAGAGACUGAAUUUGCAUCACAGCAGUGACCCAAGCCCCAGCAGUGACACACUGUAUCCUUAAUCCACUGAGCCACCAGGGAACUCCUCAACCAUGAUUCAUUCGGAGUGGUAAAGAAUCUUUCCUCAAUUGGGUAGUAGGUUCACACAUUUAUACAAUAUCACUCAAAGUCGGCAAGACUAUGAGGCUUCUUAAUUUUCUCUAAUGGAUAUAAUUUCCCUCACUGGUCAUGCUAGGUAACUCAGUCUCUUUGGGGUGUUUGAGAGUCCCUAAGACCAACUUCCAUUUCAAUAAUUUACUGGAAGAUUCACAGAACUCACUGAACUCUGUCUUACUCGUGAUUACAGCUUAUUAUAGCAAAAAGUUACAGAUUAAAAUUGGCCAAGGGAAGCGAUGCCUGGGGCAGAGUCCAGAAUUUCAAACACAAACCUUCUAGUGGCCCUCUCCCAGUGGAGUCUCUGACAGUGCUAACUCCUCCCAGCCACGGCGUGUAACAGUGUGCAGUGUUGCCAGCCUGUGAAUCUCGCCUGAGCCAUGAUCUCCAGAGUUUUUACUGGCACUCUGUCACAUAAUUAUGGUUGACCACCUGCAUCUUAGCUUCCAGCCUCUCCCAGAGAUGGAGCUGAUGAGGUGGCCCAAAGGCCCCACCGUGAAUCAUAUUGUUAGCAUAGACUAUCCCGUGUGCUCUGCAGCUCCCAGGUAAACAAAGACACUCUUAUCAGGCAGGACAUUCCAAGGUUUAGAGAUUACUUCUCAGCAAAGACCACACUUCUAUUUGUGAACAAUUAUUUUCCAAAGAGGAUAGAUGAGCCAAUUUUUCAGUUUCCUUUCUGUGCAUUUCCCACUUCUCUGUGAGCGCAGUGUCUGGGCUUGUGCACUCCAUUGUGACAAGAGAGAUGGGCCUCUCAGAGUUCUGAACAAAGACUAGGGCACAUGUUCCCUCUGCUUGUGUGUCUCGUUCUCCCUCAGUUUAUGUUCCAUCUCUCCUUCCAUCUUCUUCCAAAUUGUGACCCUGGAGAGGACAUACUUGCAUGUCCUUUUGCCUUCUGUUAUUUUUCCUGUAAUCUAUCAGGCCAGAAGGAAGGAAUUCAUUUACAUCAUGUUUUCCUUUAUCUUGAUUAAGGAUUUUCUCAGGCUAUACUUACUAAAUGGCUACAGGAAACCAGAUUUAUAAAAGGAGAGAAAGAAAAAUGUUUUUACAAUAUUAUCUCAAUUAUAUAAAGUGUUUGGCAACAAUGAGGGCCUGGAAGCACUGAGAAUAGGAAAACCUCUGCUCUCCCAUUUUCCUUUCCCUUACUUUCCAUCUUCCUUAUUGCCUAAAGUGCUCACAAAUAGCUUAGCAAUGUCAAGGUCUUGGUUUUGGAAUGGGAAGCAAUUCAUGAUUCACUAGAAUGUCAUUUCCCAUGGUAAUGAUAAUAGCUUCUAUUUAUUUGAACACUGUAGCCAAGUACUGUGCAGACUUGAUUCUCCCCAAAGUGCUCUUAUUAUCCCCUUUUACAGAUAAGAAAAUUGAGUCUCAGAGAAUUUAAGUAAUUUGCCCAAGUCUUACAGCUGGUGAGUGGUGUCACUAAAAUUUAAACCCAGAGUCAUCUUACUACAUAGACCAGUGCACUAAUUAACCACCUCUCGGAACUGCCCUUCGAUGAGGCUUUCAUAUUUCAGCUUUCCUUGUUAUUGCCAUAUGAGGGCCUUCAGUAAAGCACAAUUGCACUCGCAGUUUUGCAAGCUUCCCAGUAUCUCUUCAUGAUAGACUGGUAAGUGCAGCUUUUAAAACCUGGUCUAGUUUUGGCAAGCACCCCAAAAAUGCUGCUGGGAUUACUGAAGGAAUCAGCCACUUGGGAUUCUACCUUCCUAAUCACUUCUUGAGGGAACUUGUAAUGAAUCUAAUUGGAAGCAUCUACUCGAUUCCCUACAGGAUUAUGACACAUAAACCAGUAGCAGGAAAGGUACUAAAAUCAAUAAAUGAGAAAGAGAGAGAGGAGAAAGUUGAAAACAGAGAGCUAAGACCAGGAAGGCAGGUAGGACACUGACUUUGCGGCUCAGAUAGGAAGUCUUGAGCACUUUUUGAUUAGUGCUGUACUUGCAGAAGAAAUUUAUGAUUUGGAUAUAGGAACCUUGGGUGUAUAUUUUUCUUUUGACAUUUGAUAAGCUAAACUAUGGGAAUUUCUGUGGAUGCUGAUUACCAAUGUGCAGUGCUGAUCUAUUUAAAGGGCAGCACUGCUGGCAGACUUUAGAUCAUACCAAGAAUCUUGGCUGUGUGACCGUGAUCAAGAUCGUCCCGAGGCCUCUAUUAAGUUAGUCCUUUAUCUGUUGAAGAGUUGAUCUGGGCUUGAAGGAUGGGUAGGAUUUUGAUGGGUAGAAAUGAUGGGGCUGAACAUUAUAGAUGGAGUCAAUGGUAAGCAGUGACCUAAGAUGGGAAAAUAUGGCACAUGUUUGGGGCACAGGGAGUUUUUUCUUCAGCCAGAAUCUCAGAUGGAGAAAGGAAAGAGAGAGAGACAAACCCAGAAGAGUAGAACAGGAACAAAUUGUGUAAAAUGAUGACUGCUAGGGCCCUAGGAAUAGUUCACAGUGGGAACCUCCAGUAGCACAGAACCUCCAGUAGCAUAGAAAUUCUGGGAGUAGGAAAAGUAGUGAGGUUCUGAGCUUGAGGAGACAGAAAGGAGAGCAUCUUUAUAUUUGCUCCUUCAUUGGCUACUAUGGUAAGACAGUCCUUCAAUCGACUUCUGUCUCACGAUUGUCCCACCAUGAGUGUUUUGCUGGUUGCUCCUCUUGGUGAACCUCCACCAUCCACCAGACUUGUGUCUUUUGUCUUCCUCUCCUCUUUUUCUGUCUCCUCUCCUUUCAUUAUAUAUCCUGACAAUGUCUAUUUAUUUAUUUAUUUUCUUUUUAUGGACUUUCACGAUAUGUCCGGGAUAUGGACUUUCCCAGGCCAGAGAUCAAAUCAGAGCUAUAGUUGCAGGCCUAUGCCACAGCCAUGGCAACACUGGAUCCAAGCCGCAUCUAAGACCUGUGCUGCAACUUGUGCAUAACCCACUGAGCCAGGCCAGGGAUCGAACCUGUAUCUUCAGAGACAACACUGCGUCCUUAACCUGCUGAACUACAAUGGGAAUUCCUAGACAGUCUUUUGCUUUGGCCGGCAACAUUCUCUUACACAGAGUAAGGUCAGUGGUCAGACUGCAGAGGUUAAGAGAGUGACUCAGAAGUAGGGGCAGUGGCAGUCAAUGAAGGUAGAGGAGAAAAAAAGGUAGGAUUUUUUCUCCUACCUUUUUGAAGGUAGAGGAGAAAAAAAAUCAGGAUUGUUAAAUAAUCCUGGUCAUUUAAAUAAUUAAAUAAUUUAGAAGGAAGUGAAGUCUGGAGGAAGCUAUAGAGUGUUACAAGGAAGCAAUUCAUGUGCAAAGUAAGUCUGAAGGCAGCAAGAGUUGAAAUUUAAGUGAUCAGGUUAAAAGGCUUGUCUGAAUAAAUUGAAGCAACUCAAAAUUAACUCCUUUAAUCUCUCCUCAUGUUAAAAGAUCCCCCUCUAAAGAAAUAUUUUCUCAACUCUUUCCAACAUAUGUUGUAAAGCCAAAACAGCAAAAACCUGAAAUCCAUUUUGUCAUAGGUUUAAUAAGUCAAUCAUCUCGAUGUUCAGUCUAUGUGAAAUCAAAUGUGCAGAUGGACUGAAUUGUUAAAUGAAAUUUUCCAUCCCAUCAAUGUCUAAUUUUUGUCUUAUCAUCUCCAUGGAAUCAUCACCACCUCUGUGAAUUCACAAUAAUUGCUGCUUCUCAGAGCUCUCAGAUCUUAUUUCUGAGUUGAGUCAUGCAUUCUAGAUGGCGGCCUGAGGAGCAAAUUUUUUUUGGGGGGGGGUCUUUAUUUUGCCUUUUCUAGGGCCGCUCCCUCAGCAUAUGGAGGUUCCCAGGCUAGGGGUCUAAUCUCAGCCGUAGCUGCUGGCCUACACCACAGCCACAGCAACGGAGGAUUCGAGCAGCAUCUGCAGCCUACACCACAGCUCACGGAAAUGCCAGAUCCUUAACCCACUGAGCGAGGACAGGGAUGGAACCCACAACCUCAUUGUUCCUAGUGGGAUUUGUUAACCACUGAGCCAUGACGGGCACUCCCUGAGGAGCAUUUUUAAAUCCAUGUAUAUAUUCUAAAUUAUUUUUUCUUCCUUUUAACACAACAAGGCAUUUGUAUAAUAAUUCUUUAUUUCUCUUUAAGAUGUAAGUAUUUGUAAUGGGUACUUUUUUUUCCAAGCAACUGUGGCUAGGAGUACAAAAAAAAAAUCUGCUGAUAUAAUGUUAUUCUAACUCAUUUCCUUCAGGGUAUGACUGUUCCUUUUUAACAGCAACCACCACCACUGUUGUUGUUAUUAUUAUAAGAAUAAUGAAGAUAAGUCUUAAAAUGCAAAUAUCCUUAAGAGGGGGUUUAUUUUAAAAUGAACAUUUCUAUUAAGGAACAAACAGUACAGAUUUGAUCGCUUUUUAAAGAUAAGAUUUGAGAGGGAAGAUUCUCAGCUCUGGAAAGGAGAUGAGAAGCACAAAGAAAGGCUUGAAGCAACUGAUUAGGCUCCCAGAAGGGUAGAGAAACCACAAACCAGUCUAGAUUUACUUCCCAGUUUUAGGGCCAUCCGUGUUAAAGCUAAACAUUAAAAUCGAGUGCACUUCUUUGUUUUCCUUUCUUUAAAUUUGAAAUCCCAGUUAUCAGAUAUCUUCACUAAAUGUGAUGCUCUUUUGUUUUCACCGCUAUACACAGAUAAAGCUAUAUUUAUAGUCUGCCAGUAGAUUGGAAUAAAUUGAGUUUAAAAUGAUUUUCAGGGAUAUUAUAAAAUGUGUUGACUGCUUUGAAAAGAACCAAAGCAACUCUGAACAAUGCCCAUGGAAAAUUACUUU
RNAcentral lists this long non-coding RNA (5482 nucleotides) under Sus scrofa (pig). RNAcentral's name for it is "lncRNA (ENSSSCG00000061919.1)". The record is from RNAcentral. Lineage: Eukaryota; Metazoa; Chordata; Mammalia; Artiodactyla; Suidae.